This 401-nucleotide ribosomal RNA is filed under the name uncultured Alphaproteobacteria bacterium. RNAcentral's name for it is "bacterial SSU rRNA". It matches the Rfam family "Bacterial small subunit ribosomal RNA", at positions 61 to 496 of the family's 1533-position model. Lineage: Bacteria; Pseudomonadati; Pseudomonadota; Alphaproteobacteria. The record is from RNAcentral.
GUCGAACGAAGGCCCUAGCUUGCUAGGUGUCCUUAGUGGCGCACGGGUGAGUAACACGUGGGAACAUACCUUAUAGUACGGAAUAACUGCGGGAAACUGUAGCUAAUACCGUAUAUUCCAGCAAUGGGAAAGAUUUAUCGCUAUAAGAUUGGCCCGCGCAAGAUUAGCUUGUUGGUGAGGUAAAAGCUCACCAAGGCUUCGAUCUUUAGCUGGUUUGAGAGGAUGAUCAGCCACACUGGGACUGAGACACGGCCCAGACUCCUACGGGAGGCAGCAGUAGGGAAUAUUGGACAAUGGGGGCAACCCUGAUCCAGCAAUGCAGCGUGAGUGACGAAGGCCUUAGGGUUGUAAAACUCUUUCAUCGGUGAGGAUAAUGACAGUAGCCGAAGAAGAAGGACCGG